This 466-nucleotide ribosomal RNA is filed under the name uncultured bacterium. RNAcentral's name for it is "SSU rRNA". It matches the Rfam family "Bacterial small subunit ribosomal RNA", at positions 26 to 518 of the family's 1533-position model. The record is from RNAcentral.
AGGGUAAACGCUGGCGGCGUGCCUAAAACAUGCAAGUCGAACGGGCAGUCUUCGGAUUGUCAGUGGCAGACGGCUGAGUAACGCGUGGGUGACGUACCUAUCGGUGGGGAAUAACUGCCCGAAAGGGUGGCUAAAAACCGCAUACGUCCACUGGAGUCGUUCAGUGGGGAAAAUCGCAAGAUGCCGAUGGAGCGGCCCGCGUUCGAUUAGCUAGUUGGUGGGGUAACGGCCUACCAAGGCGACGACCGAUAGCUGGUCUCAGAGGAUGAUCAGCCAGACUGGGACUGAGACACGGCCCAGACUCCUACGGGAGGCAGCAGUUAGGAAUUUUGGGCAAUGGGCGCAAGCCUGACCCAGCAACGCCGCGUGGGUGACGAAGGCCUUCGGGUUGUAAAGCCCUUUUCUGGGGGAAGAUGAUGACGGUACCCCAGGAAGAAGCACCGGCUAACUACGUGCCAGCAGCCGC